Long non-coding RNA from Bactrocera oleae (olive fruit fly), 1627 nucleotides. RefSeq lists it as uncharacterized. The record is from RefSeq and is a predicted model, not a curated record. Lineage: Eukaryota; Metazoa; Arthropoda; Insecta; Diptera; Tephritidae.
GUUCGGUGUGUCGCCGCCAACAAAUUCAAAUUCAGUUUCAGCUCGUACAGCAACGAGUGCGGAACGAAGUGGCCGAGGCGACCGAGUGUGGUGUGCCUCUAGCCGAGUGCAUAGAACUCGGUUGUGACGAUUUGUGUGUGCAACGAGUGUGCUGCUUCGUUUGUGCGACUUCGAAGAGACGCAUAGCAUAAUUUUUGGCGCGCGACAUACGUCAAGGCGCAAAUAUAUAUUGUAGAAUAAACAAGCAAAAGCACCAAAUAUACUUUGAGGCGGUAGACAGAAAUAUACUAAGUGUCAAAUGAGAAAUUUCAAGUGUGUGUGUAUAUAUAAAUGUGGUACAUAUGUGUUAAGGGGAUUUUUUUUUCCUUUUGCAUGAUGAGUUGGACCUUUUCGCCGUCAUUGGUCGUCACCACGUUCGCCGCCGACAGCGAAAAUACGCGUGUGGUCGCUUGUUGACACUGACAUGCCGUGACAGUUAACAUUUGUUUGAAAAGGCAGCAAAACGGAAAGAAACAAACAACAAAAAGUGAUAACACAAAAGCACUUGAAACAAAUGUGGCGACAACAAAAACAAAGGAACGCACACUCAACGUCUCGAGGCAUUAAAAAACAAUAGCGCGCCGCCUUGUGUAUAUGUGUGCGAUGACAGUGAAGCAAGCAAACGCAUGUGUAAAUUGUUAUUGCAUAUGUUAAGGCGCAUAGGCCCGUGAGACGUUUAACAUAAUGCGAACGUGUUAGCAUCAGUCUACUGCUUGCCUACACAAGCUGACUCAGCACAAGUGUGUUUUCCUGCAUGUAUAUGUGCUUGUGCGGCCGAAAACAAAAGCACAAAAUAAUUAUAAAAACAAAUACAAAAAGACAAUGCAUACUGACAUUUACAAGUGUGUUGUCCAGAGGCAAUUGACGCAGGCAACAGUGGUGUCAGCUAUUGGUUGGCCCUGCACCUCUACAUACCUACGUGGCAGUGUCGUGUUAAAUGAGUUCGACGCGUUGGGCUUCACCGUUAUUGUGUUGUCAUAACAUAAUUUUAGGCGUUUGGCAUGAAGUGCCCCUGUCGUGUGAUACAACUGCAGCAGGUUGAAGAGUUGCAAUUCAGUUAUAAAAAGCUCGGCAUUAAAUGAUACAUAUGGGUGAUACUAUGUGCCACGCUUACACAUAUGAGCAACUGAAGGGAAAAUUGUGGGAAGGCCUUUACGCAAAAAGGCAAUUCAUUCAAACUGCUGACGUAGCUGAACCCUAUUCACUUACAGUCGCUAUGAACUUCUUUAAUGGGAGCUUGCUAAAACAUUUAUGGUAACCGAAUUAAUAAAAAAUGCGGCUAAGUGCAAUGUUGCCAAAAAAAAGUUGGACAUUAAUGUGUUUGUAAACUCGAAUUUUAAUAAUCAAGCCAACAACACAGGAAAACUGUUUAACCUUUCGGAAACGCUCACAGUUGAAUUAUGUUAAGGCAGCUGAAGAGUUUUCGUAAUGUUUUUAUGGGUUUAUAUAGAAAAAAUAAUCAUUUCAGAAAACAAUUGUUGUAGUAUUUGAAAAAAUAUUCAAUAUUAUAAGAAAAAGAAAUAUAUAUUACAAUAAUUAAAAAAAAAUUUAAUUACAUCAUAACAAUAAAGAAAAAAAAAUAAAAGUU